ACGGCAGUACGCAUGCGCGACAUCAUGGGCGGUAGUACGCAUGCGCGAGCUCCGAGAUGGCAAUACGCAUGCGCGAGUUUCGAGAUGGCUGUACGCAUGCGCGAGACGCGAGACGGUAGUGCGCACGUGCGAGGUUCGAGAGGGCAGUACGCAUGCGCGAGUUUCGAGAUGGCAGUACGCAUGCGCGAGACGCGAGCCGGUAGUACGCAUGCGCGACAUUACGGACGGCAGUUCGCAUGCGCGACAUUAUGGACGGCAGUACGCAUGCGCGAGCGACGAGCAGGCAGCACGCAUGCGCGACAUUACGGACGAUAGUACGCAUGCGCGAGGUUCGAGACGGCAGUACGCACGCGCGACAUUAUGGACGGCAGUACGCAUGCGCGAGCGUCGAGCCGGCAGUACGCAAGCGCGGCAUUACGGACAGCAGUACGCAUGCGCAAGCUUCUAUACUGUAGUACGCAUGCGCGAGUCCCGAAACGGCAGUACGCUUGCGCGACAUUAUGGACGGCAGUACGCAUGCGCGAGCCCCGUGACGGAAGUACGCAUGCGCGAGAUUACGGCCGGCAGUACGCAUGCGCGAAAUGAUGUACAACUGUACGCAUGCGCGACAUUACUGACAGCAGUACGCAUGUGCGAGCCCCGAGACGGCAAUACGCAUGCGCAAGCCGCGAGAUGGCAGUACGCAUGCGCGAGCCGCGAGAACGCAGUACGCAUGCGCGAGAUUCCAGACUGCAGUGCGCAUGCGCGCCAUUACGGACUGCAGUACGCAUGCGCGAGCAUUGAAACGGCAAUACGCAUGCGCGACAUUAUAGACAGGAGUACGCAUGCGCAAGAUCCGAGACGGCAAUACGCAUGCGCGAGCCGCGGGACGGCAGUACGCAUGCGCGAGUCCCGAAACGGCAGUACGCAUGCGCGACAUCAUGGACGGUAGUACGCAUGCGCGAGUUUCGAGACGGUAGUACGCAUGCGCGAGACGCGAGACGGUAGUGCGCAUGCGCGAGGUUCGAGACGGCAGUACGCAUGCGCGACAUUAAGGACGGCAGUACGCAUGCGCCACAUUAUGGACAGUAGUACGCAUGUGUGACAUUAUGGACGGUAGUACGCAUGCGCGAGCCGCGAGACGGCAGUACGCAUGCGCGAGCCGCGAGACGGUAGUACGCAUGCGCGACAACAUAGACAGCAGUACGCAUGCGCGAGCUUCGAGACGGUAGUACACAUGCGCGACAUUAUGGACGGCUGUACGCAUGCGCGAGCCGGGAGACGGCAAUACGCAUGCCUGGCCACCGAGAAGGCAGUACGCAUGCGCGAGUUUCGAGACGGCAGUACGCAUGCGCGACAUUAUGGACAGCAGUACGCAUGCGCGAGCCGCGACACGACAGUACGCAUGCACGGCCACCGAGAUGGCAGUACGCAUGAGCCAGCCGGCAGACGGCAGUACGCAUGCGCGACAUUAUAGACGGCAGUACGCAUGCGCGACGUUAUAGAGGCAGUACGCAUGCGAGAGCUUCGAGCCGGCAGUACGCAUGCGCGGCAUUAUGGACAGCAGUACCCAUGCGCGAACUGAGAGGGAGAGAGGGCAAUACGCAUGCGCGACAUUAUAGACGGCAGUACGCAUGCGCGGAGUUCGAGACGGCAGUACGCAUGCGCGUGACUCGAGCCGGCAGUACGCAUGCGAGAGGUGGCAGCAGAUACCGUGGAAACAACUCCGCCGCCGCCUUUUAGCGGACUGCCUGGGACUGUGGGCGCGCAUCCCCUUCUCUCUUUCUUUUCUUGGCACAGGAAGGUGGGGGGAAGAAGGGGAGACGACAAAGAAAAGCAAGGAAAACUCCGACAAACCCUCCAACCCCGUGCUAAAUGCUUUGCUAUACCUGUAAAUAAAUGAAUACAUAACCAGCAA
Gallus gallus (chicken) is the source of this 1897-nucleotide RNA transcript. RefSeq lists it as uncharacterized. The transcript has 2 exons. The record is from RefSeq and is a predicted model, not a curated record. NCBI's taxonomy places the organism in Eukaryota, Metazoa, Chordata, Aves, Galliformes, Phasianidae.